Molecule: long non-coding RNA, 611 nt
Filed under: Androctonus crassicauda
Lineage: Eukaryota; Metazoa; Arthropoda; Arachnida; Scorpiones; Buthidae
Source: RNAcentral
AUUAGAUAUAAAAUAUAUUAUGAAAGUUAAACAAUUAUUACAAAAAUUUAAAUAAUAUUUCAUGAAAUUUUUAAUAUAUUUAAAAAAAAUUUACUACUUUGUAUGAUUUGUUCUCAUUCUACUAAAUAGCAGCAUCAGCUAUGUUUGUUGUGCUCAACAAUGUAAAAUUGAAAGUUUUUAAAUCAUUAGGGAAUAGUGUAACCAUUGAUUAUAGCAUGUUUAUCUUCUUUUGUGGAUCAGAUACCUAUUCUAUAAACCCACAUUAUAACUGGAGAGCACUCUGCUUUCUUUGGCUGAACUAUGUAAACAGUCAUUCUCUGACUCCUGGUGAUUGUACUAUGAUAUCUUACUAUAUAAUUUUUAAGAACCAACUUGCUCUUUGACUGCCAACUUAAGGGGACGCUAGAAAAAUAAACAAGGAAGGACUGUUAGAGAGUUUGGGUACAAAUUUUGAGGAGAAAGGAAGAUAGAUUACUGGAUUCAAUGGAUUUCCCUGUGUCUUAUAUUAAAACUAUGAUAUAUGUAAAUAUUAAAAUAGUGCAGUCGACAGUUUUAACUAAGUUUGAUUACAAAAGAUCCUGAUUUCAAAGUUAUCAAUUGCUAGAUUGGAG